RNAcentral lists this ribosomal RNA (253 nucleotides) under uncultured bacterium. RNAcentral's name for it is "partial 16S ribosomal RNA". It matches the Rfam family "Bacterial small subunit ribosomal RNA", at positions 524 to 776 of the family's 1533-position model. The record is from RNAcentral.
UACAGAGGGGGCAAGCGUUAUUCGGAAUUAUUGGGCGUAAAGGGCGCGUAGGCGGCUUUGCAAGUGACGGGUGAAAUCCCUCGGCUUAACCGAGGAACUGCCUGUCAGACUGCAUCGCUAGAACGUCGGAGAGGUAAGUGGAAUUCCGAGUGUAGAGGUGAAAUUCGUAGAUAUUCGGAAGAACACCAGUGGCGAAGGCGACUUACUGGACGACUGUUGACGCUGAGGUGCGAAAGCGUGGGGAGCAAACAGG